GCUUGGGGAGCCCGUCACCCGGAUGCCUACUUUUGCUGGGGCUACCCUGCCUCGCCCCUGGAAGUUGCUUCACGGUCACUCACGUUUGUGUUGACUCAGCAGCGUGAUAGCAGACGGCUGUGGCCUUCGCUUGGGUGGCCACGGCUGCCUUUCCAAGCAAACGCAAGGCUGCCCAGGCCUUGAAAUGUGAGAGGCCCGGAUCGCCCAGGCACUGCUUUGAGCAGUGCUGUUUGGCAACGACUACUGAGCAGGAAAGGAAGGCCAAAAGUGCUUCCUGGAUUGGAUGCUGCGCCGAGACUGUUGCCCCACAGACCGUGGUUUUGCAGUCCUGAGACCAAAACCUCUGUCCCGAGGAGAAUCUUUAUAAAAGUCAGCCGACCCCAGGGCAGGAGGAGCCAGCAGCCCCGGGCUCGUGCUCCAGCCGAGGGAGUUCAGAUGAGAAGAAUCUGAAAUCUAACUCCAGAAGAAGAAGUGAGCAACCCAGAACCCGGUAACGUUCAAUUGGUGAGCCACGAUUAGAAGCUACCCAGUAACAUUUUGGCGUAGACAUCCAGGAAAAUCAAAAGUCAAGAGAUUCUGAUAAGCAUAGGAACAGCAUCUUCCUGGAAUUUUAUGUCAACUCUGGGUAGCCAUGGUGUGAGGGCUAACAGAGAACAGGUGCAGGUGGGGUCUGUGUCUCUUCAGAGAGCCAUAAGGCAGCAAGAGAGUGAGGCCUGGGGUCCUACACUGCAGCUAGCGAUCUCAUGAAAUCAUGUUCUCUGUGAGAGUCAUAUACAAGGGGGCCAACACUGUUACAGAUAGAUGAGCUAGGAAGAAAUACUAUAGGCACUCAGAUGGGCUGAGUCCUGGAGAAGGCCAGGACAAAGGUGAAACACAGCACAGCUGCACAUCGGCUGAAAACCAGGCCUCAUGACGGAGACAGGAUGGCCGGACCCACGGACUUCUUCACAGCACUGGGCUUAGUGAAGCCUAGACAGGCAUCGACCACCCUGGGGUGACCAGAGAGCUCUGGACCCACCGCCUGCUAGGAGAAUCCUUGUUCUCUCCAUCCACACUUGCUACGUGACUCGCUUCCCAACUGGACACCAUCACCUGAGUGACUGCACCUGUGACCUUAGUGGAUGAUCACGGCCGGGGCCCACCUGUACCCAUGUGGGUUUCACCCUCUAAACUCCUCUGUAAAGUGGGGUCCCAGGCUGCCCACUCGGGACCCCUCCUGCCCCUCACGAGCUUUCCGAUCAAUAAGAAUCUUCCUAUUUAUAACCUCUAUCGUUCCUAGGACUCAUUCUUUGAUUUCUAGAGAACAAGAACUUGGUGUCUCAUACGGUUAAUGGGUUUGGAGACAUAAUAUUUCAUAUUUCAUAUUUCCUGGGACAUUAUUGGUGGUCCCACUGAGAUAAUAAAUAGGAGGUAAGAAUUUACUUUUAUUGAUUGCUAAAUUAUAUUAAAUAACUAAAAUUGUCAUUCUUGUUUGUCAC
This 1478-nucleotide long non-coding RNA is filed under the name Heterocephalus glaber (naked mole-rat). RNAcentral's name for it is "lncRNA (ENSHGLG00000037833.1)". Lineage: Eukaryota; Metazoa; Chordata; Mammalia; Rodentia; Bathyergidae. The record is from RNAcentral.